GGCCCAGUGGCCUAAUGAACAGGGCAUCAGCCUCCGCAGCUGGGGAUUUUGGGUCCAAGUCCUACCUGGGUCU
Molecule: transfer RNA, 73 nt
Filed under: Alosa alosa (allis shad)
Lineage: Eukaryota; Metazoa; Chordata; Actinopteri; Clupeiformes; Clupeidae
Description: tRNA-Arg
Source: RNAcentral